RNAcentral lists this ribosomal RNA (448 nucleotides) under uncultured bacterium. RNAcentral describes it as "SSU rRNA". It matches the Rfam family "Bacterial small subunit ribosomal RNA", at positions 26 to 518 of the family's 1533-position model. The record is from RNAcentral.
AGAACGAACGCUGGCGGCAGGCUUAACACAUGCAAGUCGAACGGUUGUAGCAAUACAGCAGUGGCAGACGGGUGAGUAACACGUGGGAACCUUCCUAGGGGUACGGAACAACUCAGGGAAACUUGAGCUAAUACCGUAUACGUCCGUGAGGAGAAAGAUUUAUCGCCCCUAGACGGGCCCGCGUAGGAUUAGGUAGUUGGUGACGGUAACGGCUCACCAAGCCUACGAUCCUUAGCUGAUCUGAGAGGAUGAUCAGCCACACUGGGACUGAGACACGGCCCAGACUCCUACGGGAGGCAGCAGUGGGGAAUCUUGGACAAUGGGCGCAAGCCUGAUCCAGCCAUGCCGCGUGAGUGAAGAAGGCCUUCGGGUUGUAAAGCUCUUUUACCAGGGACGAUAAUGACGGUACCUGGAGAAUAAGCCCGGCAAACUUCGUGCCAGCAGCCGC